GACGAACGCUGGCGGCGUGCCCAAUACAUGCAAGUCGAGCGAAGUUUUUCUGGUGCUUGCACCGGAAAAACUUAGCGGCGAACGGGUGAGUAACACGUAAAGAACCUGCCUCAUAGACUGGGACAACUAUUGGAAACGAUAGCUAAUACCGGAUAACAGCAUUAACUGCAUGGUUGAUGUUUAAAAGUUGGUUUUGCUAACACUAUGAGAUGGCUUUGCGGUGCAUUAGCUAGUUGGUGGGGUAAAGGCCUACCAAGGCGACGAUGCAUAGCCGACCUGAGAGGGUGAUCGGCCACACUGGGACUGAGACACGGCCCAGACUCCUACGGGAGGCAGCAGUAGGGAAUCUUCCGCAAUGGGCGAAAGCCUGACGGAGCAACGCCGCGUGAGUGAAGAAGGAUUUCGGUUCGUAAAGCUCUGUUGUUAGGGAAGAAUGAUUGUGUAGUAACUAUACACAGUAGAGACGGUACCUAACCAGAAAGCCACGGCUAACUACGU
Molecule: ribosomal RNA, 498 nt
Filed under: uncultured bacterium
Lineage: Bacteria
Description: partial 16S ribosomal RNA
Rfam family: Bacterial small subunit ribosomal RNA
Source: RNAcentral